GGAGUUUGGACCGUGUCUCAGUUCCAAUGUGGGGGACCUUCCUCUCAGAACCCCUACUGAUCGUAGGCCAGGUGGGCCGUUACCCCGCCUGCAACCUAAUCAGACGCAUCCCCAUCCCUUAGCGAUAAAUCUUUGGUUCACUUCAGAUGUCCUCGACGAACAACAUAGGGUAUUAAUCCGACUUUCGCCGGGCUAUCCCCUACUAAGGGGAAGGUUGGAUACGCGUUACUCACCCGUGCGCCGGUCGCCAUCUGAAAUAGCAAGCUAUCUCAAUGCUGCCCCUCGACUUGCAUGUGUUAAGCCUGUAGCUAGCGUUCAUC
Molecule: ribosomal RNA, 320 nt
Filed under: uncultured Prevotella sp.
Lineage: Bacteria; Pseudomonadati; Bacteroidota; Bacteroidia; Bacteroidales; Prevotellaceae
Description: partial 16S ribosomal RNA
Source: RNAcentral